AACGAACGCUGGCGGCAGGCUUAACACAUGCAAGUCGAGCGCCCUGCAAGGGGAGCGGCAGACGGGUGAGUAACGCGUGGGAAUCUACCUUGAACUACGGGAUAGCUCCGGGAAACUGGAAUUAAUACCGUAUGUGCCCUUCGGGGGAAAGAUUUAUCGGUUCAGGAUGAGCCCGCGUCGGAUUAGCUAGUUGGUGGGGUAAAGGCCUACCAAGGCGACGAUCCGUAGCUGGUCUAAGAGGGUGAUCAGCCACAUUGGGACUGAGACACGGCCCAAACUCCUACGGGAGGCAGCAGUGGGGAAUAUUGGACAAUGGGCGCAAGCCUGAUCCAGCCAUGCCGCGUGAGUGAUGAAGGCCCUAGGGUUGUAAAGCUCUUUCACCGGGGACGAUAAUGACGGUACCCGGAGAAGAAGCCCCGGCUAACUUCGUGCCAGCCGCCGCGGUAA
This 447-nucleotide ribosomal RNA is filed under the name uncultured bacterium. RNAcentral's name for it is "partial 16S ribosomal RNA". It matches the Rfam family "Bacterial small subunit ribosomal RNA", at positions 29 to 523 of the family's 1533-position model. The record is from RNAcentral.